CGAACGAUGAAGCCCUUCGGGGUGGAUUAGUGGCGAACGGGUGAGUAACACGUGGGCAAUCUGCCCUUCACUCUGGGACAAGCCCUGGAAACGGGGUCUAAUACCGGAUACGACCUGCCGAGGCAUCUCGGUGGGUGGAAAGCUCCGGCGGUGAAGGAUGAGCCCGCGGCCUAUCAGCUUGUUGGUGAGGUAGUGGCUCACCAAGGCGACGACGGGUAGCCGGCCUGAGAGGGCGACCGGCCACACUGGGACUGAGACACGGCCCAGACUCCUACGGGAGGCAGCAGUGGGGAAUAUUGCACAAUGGGCGAAAGCCUGAUGCAGCGACGCCGCGUGAGGGAUGACGGCCUUCGGGUUGUAAACCUCUUUCAGCAGGGAAGAAGCGAAAGUGACGGUACCUGCAGAAGAAGCGCCGGCUAACUACGUGCCAGCAGCCGCGGUAAUACGUAGGGCGCAAGCGUUGUCCGGAAUUAUUGGGCGUAAAGAGCUCGUAGGCGGCUUGUCGCGUCGGUUGUGAAAGCCCGGGGCUUAACCCCGGGUCUGCAGUCGAUACGGGCAGGCUAGAGUGUGGUAGGGGAGAUCGGAAUUCCUGGUGUAGCGGUGAAAUGCGCAGAUAUCAGGAGGAACACCGGUGGCGAAGGCGGAUCUCUGGGCCAUUACUGACGCUGAGGAGCGAAAGCGUGGGGAGCGAACAGGAUUAGAUACCCUGGUAGUCCACGCCGUAAACGGUGGGCACUAGGUGUUGGCGACAUUCCACGUCGUCGGUGCCGCAGCUAACGCAUUAAGUGCCCCGCCUGGGGAGUACGGCCGCAAGGCUAAAACUCAAAGGAAUUGACGGGGGCCCGCACAAGCAGCGGAGCAUGUGGCUUAAUUCGACGCAACGCGAAGAACCUUACCAAGGCUUGACAUACGCCGGAAAACCCUGGAGACAGGGUCCCCCUUGUGGUCGGUGUACAGGUGGUGCAUGGCUGUCGUCAGCUCGUGUCGUGAGAUGUUGGGUUAAGUCCCGCAACGAGCGCAACCCUUGUUCUGUGUUGCCAGCAUGCCCUUCGGGGUGAUGGGGACUCACAGGAGACUGCCGGGGUCAACUCGGAGGAAGGUGGGGACGACGUCAAGUCAUCAUGCCCCUUAUGUCUUGGGCUGCACACGUGCUACAAUGGCAGGUACAAAGAGCUGCGAAGCCGCGAGGCGGAGCGAAUCUCAAAAAGCCUGUCUCAGUUCGGAUUGGGGUCUGCAACUCGACCCCAUGAAGUCGGAGUUGCUAGUAAUCGCAGAUCAGCAUUGCUGCGGUGAAUACGUUCCCGGGCCUUGUACACACCGCCCGUCACGUCACGAAAGUCGGUAACACCCGAAGCCGGUGGCCCAACCCCUUGUGGGAGGGAGCUGUCGAAGGUGGGACUGGCGAU
This 1406-nucleotide ribosomal RNA is filed under the name Streptomyces sp. RNAcentral describes it as "bacterial SSU rRNA". It matches the Rfam family "Bacterial small subunit ribosomal RNA". The record is from RNAcentral. Lineage: Bacteria; Bacillati; Actinomycetota; Actinomycetes; Kitasatosporales; Streptomycetaceae.